RNAcentral lists this ribosomal RNA (476 nucleotides) under uncultured bacterium. Its description in RNAcentral is "bacterial SSU rRNA". It matches the Rfam family "Bacterial small subunit ribosomal RNA", at positions 28 to 506 of the family's 1533-position model. The record is from RNAcentral.
GAUGAACGCUGGCGGCGUGCCUAACACAUGCAAGUCGAACGGAGCUGCUUUGAUGAAGUUUUCGGAUGGAUUUAAAACAGCUUAGUGGCGGACGGGUGAGUAACGCGUGGGUAACCUGCCUCACACUGGGGGAUAACAGUUAGAAAUAGCUGCUAAUACCGCAUAAGCGCACAGUUCCGCAUGGAACAGUGUGAAAAACUCCGGUGGUGUGAGAUGGACCCGCGUUGGAUUAGCUUGUUGGUGGGUAACGGCUCACCAAGGCGACGAUCCAUAGCCGGCCUGAGAGGGUGAACGGCCACAUUGGGACUGAGACACGGCCCAGACUCCUACGGGAGGCAGCAGUGGGGAAUAUUGCACAAUGGGGGAAACCCUGAUGCAGCGACGCCGCGUGAAGGAAGAAGUAUCUCGGUAUGUAAACUUCUAUCAGCAGGGAAGAUAGUGACGGUACCNGACUAAGAAGCCCCGGCUAACUACGU